Molecule: non-coding RNA, 28 nt
Filed under: Rattus norvegicus (Norway rat)
Lineage: Eukaryota; Metazoa; Chordata; Mammalia; Rodentia; Muridae
Source: RNAcentral
UGAUUUCUUAAAUGAAUGCGAGAGAGGC